Molecule: long non-coding RNA, 239 nt
Filed under: Nicotiana benthamiana
Lineage: Eukaryota; Viridiplantae; Streptophyta; Magnoliopsida; Solanales; Solanaceae
Description: long non-coding RNA (NBEN_LNC001296)
Source: RNAcentral
CGUGUGGAUCCUUUUCAGGAAGAAGUAGGAAAAAACCCUAGAGAGCAAACGAGGGUUCAACCGCUACAGUUGGAGGAGAUAUACGCCGAUGCUUCUUCUUCUUCAGCCUUCAUCACCAUGAACAUUCUAAAUCCCUAGCAACCUAGAUUCCUCGAGCUCAGCCAGUCGUCAACCAGCCCAGAAGCAGCCAUGAACGACCACCAUUAACGCCACUGCUUCGUCUUCCACAUGUUGCCUCU